Unclassified non-coding RNA from Callithrix jacchus (white-tufted-ear marmoset), 148 nucleotides. It matches the Rfam family "Metazoan signal recognition particle RNA". From Rfam's summary of the family: The signal recognition particle (SRP) is a universally conserved ribonucleoprotein. It is involved in the co-translational targeting of proteins to membranes. The eukaryotic SRP consists of a 300-nucleotide 7S RNA and six proteins: SRPs 72, 68, 54, 19, 14, and 9. The record is from Ensembl. Lineage: Eukaryota; Metazoa; Chordata; Mammalia; Primates; Cebidae.
GCUGGGCAUGGUGGCGUGUGCCUGUAAUCCCAGCUACUCAGGAGGCUGAGGCAGAAGAAUUGCUUGAAUCCAGGAGGCGGAGGUUGCAGUGAGCUGAGAUAGUGGCACUGCACUCCAGCCUGGGCAACAGAGCGACACUCUGUCUCAA